This 451-nucleotide ribosomal RNA is filed under the name uncultured bacterium. RNAcentral's name for it is "bacterial SSU rRNA". It matches the Rfam family "Bacterial small subunit ribosomal RNA", at positions 354 to 796 of the family's 1533-position model. The record is from RNAcentral.
GUAGGGAAUAUUGCGCAAUGGGGGAAACCCUGACGCAGCAACGCCGCGUGAGUGAGGAAGGUCUUCGGAUUGUAAAACUCUUUUAUUAGGGAAAAAUGUCUAGGUGGCUAAUAUCCACUUAGAGUGAUGGUACCUAAGGAAUAAGCACCGGCUAACUUCGUGCCAGCAGCCGCGGUAAUACGAAGGGUGCAAGCGUUGUUCGGAAUCAUUGGGCGUAAAGCGCGCGCAGGCGGGUCAGUAAGUCAGGUGUGAAAUCUCGGAGCUCAACUCCGAAACUGCGCCUGAAACUAUUGGUCUAGAGUAUCGGAGGGGACAGGGGAAUUUCACGUGUAGGGGUAAAAUCCGUAGAGAUGUGAAGGAACACCGGAGGCGAAGGCGCCUGUCUGGACGAUUACUGACGCUGAGGCGCGAAAGCGUGGGGAGCAAACAGGAUUAGAAACCCGAGUAGUCC